CGAGAAAGCGUUGCCGCAGGCAACGACCCGAAGGGCGAAGCGCGCAGCGCUGAGUAAUCCUUCCCCCAUCACCA
Molecule: small RNA, 74 nt
Filed under: Salmonella enterica
Lineage: Bacteria; Pseudomonadati; Pseudomonadota; Gammaproteobacteria; Enterobacterales; Enterobacteriaceae
Description: partial RtT sRNA
Rfam family: RtT RNA
About the family: This family represents a bacterial cis-regulatory element known as RtT RNA.
Source: RNAcentral